UCCCUGAUAGCUCAGUGGUAAAGAAUCUGCCUGCCAGUGCAGGAGACACAGGUUCAAUCCCUGGUCUGGGAA
RNAcentral lists this transfer RNA (72 nucleotides) under Bos taurus (domestic cattle). It matches the Rfam family "tRNA". Rfam says of the family: Transfer RNA (tRNA) molecules are approximately 80 nucleotides in length. Their secondary structure includes four short double-helical elements and three loops (D, anti-codon, and T loops). Further hydrogen bonds mediate the characteristic L-shaped molecular structure. tRNAs have two regions of fundamental functional importance: the anti-codon, which is responsible for specific mRNA codon recognition, and the 3' end, to which the tRNAs corresponding amino acid is attached (by aminoacyl-tRNA synthetases). tRNAs cope with the degeneracy of the genetic code in two manners: having more than one tRNA (with a specific anti-codon) for a particular amino acid; and 'wobble' base-pairing, i.e. permitting non-standard base-pairing at the 3rd anti-codon position. Lineage: Eukaryota; Metazoa; Chordata; Mammalia; Artiodactyla; Bovidae. The record is from Rfam by way of RNAcentral. RNAcentral also lists the same sequence under 5 other names.